RNAcentral lists this ribosomal RNA (449 nucleotides) under uncultured bacterium. RNAcentral describes it as "partial 16S ribosomal RNA". It matches the Rfam family "Bacterial small subunit ribosomal RNA", at positions 29 to 523 of the family's 1533-position model. The record is from RNAcentral.
AACGAACGCUGGCGGCAGGCUUAACACAUGCAAGUCGAACGGUCUCUUCGGAGGCAGUGGCAGACGGGUGAGUAACGCGUGGGAAUCUACCCAUCCCUACGGGAUAGCUCCGGGAAACUGGAAUUAAUACCGUAUACGCCCUUUUGGGGAAAGAUUUAUCGGGGAUGGAUGAGCCCGCGUUGGAUUAGCUAGUUGGUGGGGUAAGGGCUCACCAAGGCGACGAUCCAUAGCUGGUCUUAGAGGAUGAUCAGCCACAUUGGGACUGAGACACGGCCCAAACUCCUACGGGAGGCAGCAGUGGGGAAUAUUGGACAAUGGGCGCAAGCCUGAUCCAGCCAUGCCGCGUGAGUGAUGAAGGUCUUAGGAUUGUAAAGCUCUUUCACCGGGGACGAUAAUGACGGUACCCGGAGAAGAAGCCCCGGCUAACUUCGUGCCAGCCGCCGCAGUAA